UCUCACCUAUGUAUCAGGUUGUCUUCAAC
RNAcentral lists this non-coding RNA (29 nucleotides) under Rattus norvegicus (Norway rat). Lineage: Eukaryota; Metazoa; Chordata; Mammalia; Rodentia; Muridae. The record is from RNAcentral.